CAAAUUGAAGAGUUUGAUCCUGGCUCAGAUUGAACGCUGGCGGCAUGGCUAAAACAUGCAAGUCGAACGAUUAAAGCUUCUUCGGAAGUGCAUAAAGUGGCGUAAGGGCGAGGAAUACAUUUCUAUGUACCCCUAAGUCAAGGAUAGCCCAGAGAAAUUUGGUGUAAUACUUGAUGUGGUCUCCGGAUCAAAGAUUUAUCGCUUAGGGAGCAGGGAAUGUCCUAUCAGGUUGUUGGUGAGGUAACGGCUCACCAAGCCAAAGACGGGUAGCGGGUGUGAGAGCAUGACCCGCCGCAUCGGAACUGAGACACUGUC
RNAcentral lists this ribosomal RNA (315 nucleotides) under Phycisphaerales bacterium. Its description in RNAcentral is "bacterial SSU rRNA". It matches the Rfam family "Bacterial small subunit ribosomal RNA", at positions 1 to 331 of the family's 1533-position model. The record is from RNAcentral. Lineage: Bacteria; Pseudomonadati; Planctomycetota; Phycisphaerae; Phycisphaerales.